UCUUCCAUAAACACUCAGGACUUUGACCGUGUAGCACUUGACUCACAGCAACACUGUUUCCUCACUCCACCGCAGACAUUCGCCAUUUGAAAGGCUGCACAUUGCCGCUCAAACAACGAACACAAGCGAGAAAACAUCUGAGAGGCUUACUCCUGUUCCUUAAAAGCCAUGGCAGUGGGAUCGAUCAUUUCACCUGAACAUGGCAGGCUCACGUCGGUCCAGAGCUGGUGCAGACAUGGUGAAGAGCCACAGAAAUAUCAAAGUAAGAGCAAGAGGAGCUCUAAAGACUGGUACCCUCCAGAUUUGGCCCUUGUGAGGACCAGGAUGCACAUCAGGAAGAUGAUAAAGGAGAGGAAACCUCAAAGGCACGGAGACAUUCUUGACACCUGGCAGGAACUCGAGGACUACUGGCAACACUUGGAAAAAAGUUGACACAAAGUUUGCAAAUGACGAGAAAGAGGUGUUCUGUUCAUUAUUUGACAGGAAGCCCUCAACACUCCCAGUCAUAUGACAUCAAUGAAAAUGUAAAACCUACAAAUACAAAUUGAGUGUGAAUAUAUAAGACUUUGUAAAUAUGUAUAAUAGUUUUUUCUACUACAUAACAUUCAAUAAACGUUGAAGUUUU
Long non-coding RNA from Eleginops maclovinus (Patagonian blennie), 625 nucleotides. RefSeq lists it as uncharacterized. Lineage: Eukaryota; Metazoa; Chordata; Actinopteri; Perciformes; Eleginopidae. The transcript has 2 exons. The record is from RefSeq and is a predicted model, not a curated record.